CCAAAGUGCCAUACUUUUGGCGGACCGAGGGAGUAUUAUUUUCUCACUCAUUCAUCGGUCUCUCCACUCAUCCAUCGGUCUCUUUGAAAAACUAAAAAUCAUAUCUCAAAAACUAAAAAUCAAAUCUUGCUACGAUCGUGCCUUCAUCGCCGGUGUCUCCACUGCCGCUGCCAACGAUCGUGCCUUCAUCGCCGGGCGCAUUCGUCACCCGAAGUCUCACCGUGGGAGACAACUGACAGCGGCGCUCGGCUGCCCAAGCCCCAAUUUCAUCCCCAAAUCCAAGCCCUCCGAUCCCCCAUCACCCGAUGGCCCGUGCCGGGCGCAUUUGUCACUCGAAGUCUCACCGUCGGAGACAGCUGACAGCAACGCUCGACUGCCCAAGCCCCAAUUUCAUCCCCAAAUGCAAGCCCUCCCCCGUCGCCGAUGGCCCGUUCCGUCUCACUCAUCAGUUCUCCCUACGAAUCAGAUAUUGCUACGCUAUCUCUCACUGUGCCAUGGAUUCUCCACCGCCGACUCCUUCUCUCAACAUUGCCGCCGCCAACGACCGGUAAUGGCACCAGCCUCCGAGGGAUUCACAAAACAUUCCAGGACGCCCACAUCUCCUCAUCGGCGCCGCCGAUCCCUUCCAACGCUGGUUUAUCGCCGCCUCCUCUGCCAUGCCAACGCAAUGUACCUUUCUUUUCUUUUGCCGCAACCGGAUCCCUUACGGUGAGAUUCUCAUUGCUGAGCUAUUGAUGGUGAAAAGAAUAGGUUGUGUUUGUUCUUCAUACUUUGAGGUUCUAAUUUUUGUUGUUUGGUUCAUUCAGUUUCAUGUUUCUUUCCGACCAAGUAAGUUUGAUCUUCUGGCCCCAUGACAUAACUGAAAGCAUAAGCUGCUUCUUUACAUUGUUAUAUCCUACCUUGCACUUAUUUGCCUCUUGGGUAUUUACUGAUCAGUAUAAUAUUACUUGGUCAGUCGUCAUUUCUCUAGAAUAUUAGUAUCAUUGUUUAGUUCGUGGAUAUAACUCUAAUAUUUUCCAUGAGUGACAUAGUAUUAGAUUAUUUGAGAUGUAAUAUUAUAACUUUUUUUGUUGGCUUCUCAGUAAAGUUGCGGAUUUUUAUGUUGGUAUAAUUCAUCUUUAAGAAUAUGUGAAUGGUGUUGUAGUUCAUUAUUCAAGUUUCUAUGGUGAGUCAUUUUAAUUAAGAGGAGAGCUUGCUUUAUGAUUCUUGCUUGCAGCAAUACACUGGCACCUUGCGAAGAAUUUGAUACACCUAGCAUGGUCAUUGCAGGAGUGUGUUGCUGCUGCAGAUGUGGAACUAUUAUCAUUGUUUUUCAAUUGUUGAGUUUUGUUCUGUCAACUUUGUUGUCAGUUUUCUAAAUAGAUAACCUUUAUUUUCUAACAUGUCCAGGAAUAUUGCAGGACAAGAGAGAUUUAGGAGUCUCAUCCCAAUAUAAUAUAAGAGACUCCUUUGUUGCAGUCAUAGUUUAUGAUGUUGAACCACGUACAGUCAUUGCUCUGCAUGCUCUCAGUGGUAAAGCUUUAUUAAGCUGCUUCUAUUGUUUUAUAUGUUCAAGCUGUUUAAAAUUCUCGGUUGCAUGGGAGCACGAACAAUUUUCAAGGCUGAGAGCUACUGCUGCAACACUGUCCGAGCUUUCUGUCGCACCUGAUUUUCUAGAAAGUGCUGGAGGUCUGUCAGAUAGCAGGUUGUAACUCGAGGAAUGAGAAUCGCUUAUUUUUGUCUUUAAAUUUAGAUCUCCUCUCUUUUCUUUCCUGUAUGAAUCUUUCUUUAGUCAACCAUGGUCACCUCUGCAGUCAUUUUGUUGAUGAAGAUUCAAUAACUAAUAUGGGUGCAAAGUUUCCAUAUUGGACUUCGUGGUAAUUCUUUAUUUGUUCUUUACGCAUCCGUAGGAAUAUCAUCACCAAUUGGUUGGUGGUCCAUUCAUUCAGACACCAAUUUAGUUUGUAUUUGGAUUUAUUGGAUUUUUCAUACUAUGAAAACUGAGAUUUUAGUGGGUGGCGGGUAUCCGACGGAUAACUGGUGGCUGAUAUUCGACGGGUAGCAAGUUGGUGGAUACCCGACGGGUGGCGGGUAUCUGCGGGUAGCGGCGGGAUGUCGACACCGAGAAACAGCAGCUCCCCUACCUCUCAAGCCUCAACGGGUAGUGGGUGGCGGGUAUCCAACGGGUAGCGGAUGAUGGAUACCCGACGGGUGGCGAGUAUCCGCUGGUCGCGGUUAUGGAUGGGAAAUGAUUUUUUUGAAUAUAUGUUUCGCUAAAUCAUGUUAAGGAUGAAAGUCCUCUUUAAUUUAUUUUUUCAUUUUAGUUUGAUGUGUAAAUUAUAAAUUAUUUUUACUUCUUUUUAAUAUAAAUUAUAACAUCAAAUGAUACCCGUCGAAAUUCGACGGGUUACACACUA
RNA transcript from Salvia miltiorrhiza (redroot sage), 2396 nucleotides. RefSeq lists it as uncharacterized. The record is from RefSeq and is a predicted model, not a curated record. Lineage: Eukaryota; Viridiplantae; Streptophyta; Magnoliopsida; Lamiales; Lamiaceae. The transcript has 5 exons.